CCUACGGGAGGCUGCAGUGGGGAAUAUUGCACAAUGGGGGAAACCCUGAUGCAGCGACGCCGCGUGAGUGAAGACGUAAUUCGUUAUGUAAAGCUCUAUCAGCAGGGAAGAAAAUGACGGUACCUGAGUAAGAAGCCCCGGCUAACUACGUGCCAGCAGCCGCGGUAACACGUAGGGGGCAAGCGUUAUGCGGAUUUACUGGGUGUAAAGGGAGCGUAGACGGGAGUGCAAGUCCGGAGUGAAAGGCGGGGGCUCAACCCCCGGACUGCCCUGGAAACUGGACGGCUGGAGUGCAGGAGAGGUAAGUGGAAUGCGUGGUGUAGCGGUGAAAUGCGUAGAUAUUAGGAGGAACCCCGAUGGCGAAGGCAGCUUACUGGACUGUAACUGACGUUGAGGCUCGAAGGCGUGGGGAGCAAACAGGAUUAGAUACCCGAGUAGUC
Molecule: ribosomal RNA, 440 nt
Filed under: uncultured bacterium
Lineage: Bacteria
Description: partial 16S ribosomal RNA
Rfam family: Bacterial small subunit ribosomal RNA
Source: RNAcentral